Molecule: transfer RNA, 53 nt
Filed under: Noturus exilis (slender madtom)
Lineage: Eukaryota; Metazoa; Chordata; Actinopteri; Siluriformes; Ictaluridae
Also listed under: 1 other name
Description: partial tRNA-Ser
Source: RNAcentral
CCGAAAGAGGCCCGAAGCAAUAGAGACUGCUAAUCCCUACGACCGCGGUUAAA